This 366-nucleotide ribosomal RNA is filed under the name uncultured bacterium. RNAcentral's name for it is "bacterial SSU rRNA". It matches the Rfam family "Bacterial small subunit ribosomal RNA", at positions 527 to 891 of the family's 1533-position model. The record is from RNAcentral.
GUAGGUGGCAAGCGUUAUCCGGAAUUAUUGGGCGUAAAGCGCGCGCAGGUGGUUUCUUAAGUCUGAUGUGAAAGCCCACGGCUCAACCGUGGAGGGUCAUUGGAAACUGGGAGACUUGAGUGCAGAAGAGGAAAGUGGAAUUCCAUGUGUAGCGGUGAAAUGCGUAGAGAUAUGGAGGAACACCAGUGGCGAAGGCGACUUUCUGGUCUGUAACUGACACUGAGGCGCGAAAGCGUGGGGAGCAAACAGGAUUAGAUACCCUGGUAGUCCACGCCGUAAACGAUGAGUGCUAAGUGUUAGAGGGUUUCCGCCCUUUAGUGCUGAAGUUAACGCAUUAAGCACUCCGCCUGGGGAGUACGGCCGCAA